RNAcentral lists this long non-coding RNA (1767 nucleotides) under Sorghum bicolor (sorghum). Its description in RNAcentral is "long non-coding RNA (SBIC_LNC004394)". Lineage: Eukaryota; Viridiplantae; Streptophyta; Magnoliopsida; Poales; Poaceae. The record is from RNAcentral.
GAGUCUUCUAGAUGACAGAAAAUUACGCGGCACAUUAAUAUCUCUAUGUAAACCCGACGUGUGGGCCUUUCCUCCAUAUUUCCUGAUAACCCCCUGCAGAAAUAGACAAACACCAAAACUCGUGGAAUUCUGUCAGAUAAAACCCUAAGUCUGGGUGUUGGUUGCAUUUGGAUCCUUUUUCUUUAUUUAUUUGAUGAUUAUAUUUGGUACUUAAGGACCGUCAACAACUCCCCAAGCUUACCUCUUGCUCGUCCCUGAGCAAGUUUGAACUCAAGAGUUUCUGCAGUGGUUUUAUGCUUUAAAAGUACACAUGCAUUCAAGCAUGAUCUCAUCUCUGAGUUUAGAGUAAACUUGUUAAAACUUAAAACUUACUCAUUUUACCUUUCACCAUGGGGCUUGCAACCGUCACUUGUGUCUUGAGCAGUUAAAAGAUAGAACGGUCAAGUUAAGUGCCAUGUCUCUUGUUCUUUGAUCAUCUAUAGCUCUGGAGUUUUUGUAGAUUUUCAAAUAAAACUCAGAGAUUCCUUAUAUGAUUCUCUCAAAUCUCUCUUUUGUGGUAUUUCUGGAUCCUUACCAAGGCAAUAAUGGUAUAUGCCUUCUCUCAAAAUAUGUGGUAUUUUUGGUAUGAGGCAUAGUGAUAUUGCCUUCUCUCUCACCCUACUCUAAUAAGGUUUUGAUAUCUGGAGCUCAUAGGUAGGAGACAGCUAAUACAUACUUACAAGACAUUUAUUGCAUAGUCAAACCAUGGAUCUAGAGAAACAAUUCAAUAAGUCAAAUCAAGAUGUGCAUGUGUGGUGAGUGAAUGGUGUAUGGUGAUGAUGGUGAUAACAAUGGUGAAAGUCUAAUUCUAUUUUUGCUCUUUUAAGGGGAUACAUACCUUUCUUGCACUUUGAAGCUUUUUGAGGAGAAUGAGAUGCUCUAUAUUUUCUUUUUCUUUCUCUCUCAGGUGGGUAUCUUGUUCCCCUAAUUCUACUGUCGGACACUUGUCCAUUUUUACCUCUCGUCUCACUUUUUCUUUUCUUUGAGGUUCCAGGCACUUGCCCCUUUUUAUUUCCUCGUAUUUUUCCCUUUUUCUUCUUUUUUUAGAGAGCACUCAUCUCCUAAAAUAAUAUAGCAAGUGGUAGUAACCAAGAUAACUCGAGCAUUUAUUUCACAGAGAAAAAUAAAAAUAGGAGAAUGUUUUUGGCUAUUCUCUCCUAGAUUAGGAGUAGAAUAAUUGUAGGUGAAUCUGGAGAUGGAAUUGAGUGGAUGUAUGUGGAUGCGUACUUCCGGAGUAGAAGAAACAUGUGUGAGUGAACGUGCAAGUGAAUCUUGAUUUUAACCACAUGACAAGCUCCUAAGGGUCUACACAGCUUGACUACACUCAAUGCUCAUAAGCAGUAAAAAGUAAAUGUGUGGCUCAAAGUCUAAUAAGCAUGUAUAUAUGGCUGUGGUAGGAUUUUAAACUCUCAUCAUACAGGAACUCAUCAAGUGUUAUUUUAAAGAUUUUCAAAGAUAAAAUUCUCCAUAAUUCUAGCAUCUCUAGGAAUAGAUAAACAUCAGCUCAACCUUCCCAUAUCAUAUCCGUUAACGGCUUAGACUUUAGAUCAAGUACUCUUCCCACAAGUUCAGGUUUAGAGCAGGUUUAAAUUAUAAUAAUUAUGCCUAAACUUGAGAGAGAUUUCAAUUUUAAGUAGUCAUGGCAGAGCAACUAUUCAUCAUUUCCAUGUGAGAGCUUAUCAUAAGGGUUCAUAGCAAACUUUAUUUAUUAAAAAAAACUAAGCAAAG